GACGAACGCUGGCGGCGUGCUUAACACAUGCCAGUCGAACGAAGAGCGAUGGAAGCUUGCUUCUAUCAAUCUUAGUGGCGAACGGGUGAGUAACGCGUAAUCAACCUGCCCUUCAGAGGGGGACAACAGUUGGAAACGACUCCUAAUACCGCAUACGAUCCAAUCUCGGCAUUGGGACUGGAUGAAAGUUUGCCUCUAUUUAUAAGCUAUUACUGUAGGUGGGGAUUUCGUCUGAUUAGCUAGUUGGGGGGGGAACGGGCCGCCAAGGCGAGGAUCAGUAGACGGUCUGAGAGGAUGAACGGCCGCAUGGGGACUGGGACACGGCCAAGACGCCUACGGGAGGGAGCAGUGGGGAAUCUUACGCAAUGGACGGAAGUCUGACGGAGCAACGCCGCGUGAGUGAUAGCAGCCUUCGGGUUGGAAAGCUCUGUUAAGCGGGACGAAUGGUUCUUGUGCGAAUAGUGCGAGGAUUUGACGGUACCGGAAGAGAAAGCCACGGCUAACUACGUG
RNAcentral lists this ribosomal RNA (510 nucleotides) under uncultured bacterium. RNAcentral's name for it is "partial 16S ribosomal RNA". It matches the Rfam family "Bacterial small subunit ribosomal RNA", at positions 28 to 507 of the family's 1533-position model. The record is from RNAcentral.